ACACACCCACACACACAACGAACUGAGUACACACAAUUAAGGAUAAACAAUACAACGCCCGCCACCCCUUGACUCAGUGCAGGCACGGUACCAUGCUACCAGGAAGACCAACUAAUUUCUCCAGCGCCGUUCCAUGGUUCUUCGGCCUGGAGCUAAGCAGAUGCUCCUAACCCUAAAAAACAGUGCACUGUUUACCAACUAGCCAUCCCUCGGAGACAAAAGAGACAGAACCAAGCACAUGUGGCACUCUUUAUAGUGCUGGAGGGCUGGGGGGUCCAGCCCAGACUAAGGACACCACCCAUUCCUGCACGUUGAAAUGCAGCUACCUGAGAAUGGCCAGAUACCGCACGACCUGCCUCUUGGAAGCACGAAAUCCUCGGUCGCCGGGACUCACAGAAAGAACAGCCCAGAGUGAUUAUCGAAUAAUUACGUGCCUUUGAAGGAGCAGGCAAUUGAAGAAGAUUCUGUGCACAGUGAAAUGACAAAUAACAGAACGAAGGUGAUUGGGGGACUCACGUUGUAGUUCAGGACAGACUGGAGAAUUCACCCUUCCCAAAAUCACCAGUCCCGCCAUCGUAGAAGCAAACCAUAAACACUGGAUCA
This is a long non-coding RNA of Pristis pectinata (smalltooth sawfish), 603 nucleotides long. RefSeq lists it as uncharacterized. The transcript has 3 exons. NCBI's taxonomy places the organism in Eukaryota, Metazoa, Chordata, Chondrichthyes, Rhinopristiformes, Pristidae. The record is from RefSeq and is a predicted model, not a curated record.